RNAcentral lists this ribosomal RNA (468 nucleotides) under uncultured bacterium. RNAcentral's name for it is "partial 16S ribosomal RNA". It matches the Rfam family "Bacterial small subunit ribosomal RNA", at positions 28 to 507 of the family's 1533-position model. The record is from RNAcentral.
GACGAACGCUGGCGGCGUGCUUAACACAUGCAAGUCGAACGGAAAGGCCCUGCUUUUGUGGGGUGCUCGAGUGGCGAACGGGUGAGUAACACGUGAGUAACCUGCCCUUGACUUUGGGAUAACUUCAGGAAACUGGGGCUAAUACCGGAUAGGAGCUCCUGCUGCAUGGUGGGGGUUGGAAAGUUUCGGCGGUUGGGGAUGGACUCGCGGCUUAUCAGCUUGUUGGUGGGGUAGUGGCUUACCAAGGCUUUGACGGGUAGCCGGCCUGAGAGGGUGACCGGCCACAUUGGGACUGAGAUACGGACCAGACUCCUACGGGAGGCAGCAGUGGGGAAUAUUGCACAAUGGGCGGAAGCCUGAUGCAGCAACGCCGCGUGCGGGAUGACGGCCUUCGGGUUGUAAACCGCUUUCGACUGUGACGAAGCGUGAGUGACGGUAAUGGGUAAAGAAGCACCGGCUAACUACGUG